AAAAAAUUUAAUUUAUAUUUAUUAAUUUAUUUUAUAAAUAAUAAUAUUAAUAAAGUUUUAAAAAUAAUUUAUUUUAAAUUUAAAUAAUUAAUAAAUAAUUAAUUAAUGUUUUUAAUAAUUAAAAUUAUACAAAUAAUAAAUAGUAAUUUAUAAUAAUAAUAAUAAAAUUAGUGCCAGCAAUUGCGGUUACACUAAUAUUAUAAGUAAAUUUAUAUUUUAAUUAAUAAAUAAAUGUUUUAUUGAAUUUUAAUAUAAAAGUUAUUUUAUAUAGUGAAAUAUUUAAAAUGAUAGUAUGAUUAAGUGUAAGUUUAAAUAAGUUAAUAAAGUUAGAAAAAAAAUUAGGAUUAGAUACCCUAUUAUUAAAAGUAAAAAAAUUGAGUUAAUAAGGAAUUAAAUGUAAAUCAUUAAAUUUAAAAAAUUUGGCGGUAUUUUAAAUAGUUAGAGGAAUUUGUUAAUUAAAUGAUAGUCCACGAGUGGGGGGUCCUAAUAAAAUUUUUAUGUAUUGUUGUAUAAAAAUUAUUUUAUAAGAAUUUAAUGAUUGGAAUAUUUAAAUUAAUUUGAAUUCAAAUCAAAAUGUAGAAUUGUUAGGGUUAAUAAUGAGUUACAGUUUAAUGUAGUAUUGGAGUUAUUUUUUUAAAUAGGAUAAUGAGAUAGGAUUUAAAAGUAAAUUUAAAUAAAUUUUUAUGUUGAAAAAUAAAUUAAAAUAUGUACAAAUUGCCCGUCAUUUUCAUGAAUAAAUAAUUGAAAGAAGUCGUAACAAAGUAAAUGUACAGGAAUGUGUAUUUAGGUUAAU
Molecule: non-coding RNA, 793 nt
Filed under: Pheidole fervens
Lineage: Eukaryota; Metazoa; Arthropoda; Insecta; Hymenoptera; Formicidae
Source: RNAcentral